GAUCCCGUAGUGUAGUGGUUAGCACCUUGGACUUUGAAUCCAAUAACGCGAGUUCGAAUCUCGCCGGGAUCU
This 72-nucleotide transfer RNA is filed under the name Blastocladiella britannica. RNAcentral's name for it is "tRNA-Gln". It matches the Rfam family "tRNA". Rfam says of the family: Transfer RNA (tRNA) molecules are approximately 80 nucleotides in length. Lineage: Eukaryota; Fungi; Blastocladiomycota; Blastocladiomycetes; Blastocladiales; Blastocladiaceae. The record is from RNAcentral.